AUUCUGGCAAUAGACAAGGGACUUGGCUUCCUCCAGGCAGCUGCUGUGUCAGCUUGCUAGAUAGAGUCCCUACUGGUAGGAUUAAACAAUAAAGCCUUGCUUUUGCAGUUUGGUGAAAUGUCUUCUUGGUAGUCUCUGGGAGUCUUCGAGACUUAGGCACAACAUUUUUUUGCAUUGUCCAGGAACUCCAGAGACCCUCCUCUGGACCCCAGACCUCAAAGGUUUUCAGCAUUCAGCUAGAGAGAUGGGCCAAAUUCAGGCACCACCCCAUUUCCUCCAAAAAGACUGAUGAAAAUUCCACCCACAAAAAUGACAAUGCUAGCCACUGAGCAAGCCUGGCUUUCACCUCACCUGCUUCAAGGGACUUUUCAGACCGUGGACAAGAGAACAGUGGAAUUGACUUCCUCCCCAUUUCUUGGGCUAAUGACACAUCCGAGCAUCAGGUGCUGACUACAACAUACUCCUGGAGACUGUGAGUUCUGGACUUGCUGCUGAUGUGAAUGGGUCUAGCCAAUGUGAACACUCCCUGUCUCUUCAACAGAAUCUGCAAACCAGAUACUUUGAAAGAUGCCCCAUUGCCUGAAUUCCCUCGUUGCUUUUGACUAGCAUUUCAUUGGGCCCCUGACAACAUCCCAAAGUCAGUAGGAUGUAUCACAGAAAAGAAUACAUCACCCCCUUUCCCUGGCUGAGAUGUUAAGUCAAAAGAAAACUCCCUUACAUAGGAAAAAAUAUAACAACAAAUGUGAAUGUCACUCCCCUAGGGAAAUCCGUCAGCUGAUGGCUCUUAGGGUCUGUUACCACCCCCAGAACCAUCAAAAUAGAUGGGAUCGCCACAUGGGUCCACUACCCCCACGCCUGACCUGCAGACCCCUUGGUCAUAUCGGAGGACUACAAGGAAAAAAAAUGGAAGCUGUCCAAACACCCAAACAACCCACUCAAGCUGCACCUUCUUCAACAACACAACUCUUCCUCCUGAUACACCAUGGCUGCUAACACAAAUCCUCAUGUCCCACAAAACCUGACCUGGCAACUCUAUGAAACCUCAACUAGAAAAAUUCUGACCAAUUCUGCUGGGACUUCAAAGCCUCUUUAACUUUACAGCAAGUAUCCGGACAAGGGACCUGUGCAGGUUCCAUCCCGCCUCCCCACCCCAACUCUGUAAUCAAACUGACCCCACUGUUAACUCUGAGGGAUGCUUGAUCCCCCACAAUGACACUUGGUGCGCCCUGCGAACACACAAAAAUAAUCAAAGAGGGCUGGAGAGAUGGCUCAAAGGCUGUUCUUCCAGAGGUCAUGAGUUCAAUUCCCAGCAACCACAUCAUGGCUCACAGCCAUCUGU
Mesocricetus auratus (golden hamster) is the source of this 1339-nucleotide long non-coding RNA. RefSeq lists it as uncharacterized. Lineage: Eukaryota; Metazoa; Chordata; Mammalia; Rodentia; Cricetidae. The record is from RefSeq and is a predicted model, not a curated record. The transcript has 3 exons.